RNAcentral lists this ribosomal RNA (1293 nucleotides) under metagenome. RNAcentral's name for it is "bacterial LSU rRNA". It matches the Rfam family "Bacterial large subunit ribosomal RNA", at positions 1645 to 2925 of the family's 2925-position model. The record is from RNAcentral.
UACCGCAAACCGACACAGGUGGGCAGGAUGAAAAUUCUAAGGCGCUUGAGAGAACUCAGGAGAAGGAACUCGGCAAAUUAACACCGUAACUUCGGGAGAAGGUGUGCCCCGGUAGCGUGUAGAGACUUGCUCUCGAAGCGCGAUGGGGUUGCAGUGAAAUGGUGGCUGCGACUGUUUAAUAAAAACACAGCACUCUGCAAACACGAAAGUGGACGUAUAGGGUGUGACGCCUGCCCGGUGCCGGAAGGUUAAGUGAUGGGGUGCAAGCUCUUGAUCGAAGCCCCGGUAAACGGCGGCCGUAACGAUAACGGUCCUAAGGUAGCGAAAUUCCUUGUCGGGUAAGUUCCGACCUGCACGAAUGGCGUAACGAUGGCCACACUGUCUCCUCCUGGGACUCAGCGAAGUUGAAAUGCUUGUGAAGAUGCAAUCUACCCGCGGCUAGACGGAAAGACCCCAUGAACCUUUACUGUAGCUUUGCAUUGGACUUUGAACCGGUUUGUGUAGGAUAGGUGGGAGACUGUGAAGCCGGGACGCUAGUUUCGGUGGAGUCAACCUUGAAAUACCACCCUGAUUUGUUUGAGGUUCUAACCUUGGUCCGUGAAUCCGGAUCGGGGACCGUGCAUGGUAGGCAGUUUGACUGGGGCGGUCUCCUCCCAAAAGGUAACGGAGGAGUACGAAGGUACGCUUAGGGCGGUCGGACAUCGCCCACAAAGUGCAAUGGCAAAAGCGUGCUUGACUGCGAGACCCACAAGUCGAGCAGGUACGAAAGUAGGUCAUGGUGAUCCGGUGGUUCUGUAUGGAAGGGCCAUCGCUCAACGGAUAAAAGGUACUCUGGGGAUAACAGGCUAAUUCCUCCCAAGAGUUCAUAUCUACGGGGGAGUUUGGCACCUCGAUGUCGGCUCAUCACAUCCUGGGGCUGUAGUCGGUCCCAAGGGUAUGGCUGUUCGCCAUUUAAAGUGGUACGCGAGCUGGGUUUAAAACGUCGUGAGACAGUUUGGUCCCUAUCUGCCGUGGGCGCUGGAAAUUUGAAGGGGGCUGCUCCUAGUACGAGAGGACCGGAGUGGACGAACCUCUGGUGUACCGGUUAUGACGCCAGUCGUAUCGCCGGGUAGCUAAGUUCGGAAGAGAUAAACGCUGAAAGCAUCUAAGCGUGAAACUCGCCUUAAGAUAAGAUUUCCCGGAGUCUUGAACUCCCUGAAGGGUCGUCGAAGACCACGACGUUGAUAGGUCAGGUGUGGAAGCGCAGCAAUGCGUUAAGCUAACUGAUACUAAUUGCCCGUGUGGCUUGAUCCG